GACGAACCGUGCGAACGUUGUUCGGAAUCACUGGGCGUAAAGGGCGCGUAGGCGGUCACGCAAGUCCGGUGUGAAAGCCCCCAGCUCAACUGGGGAAGGGCCUUGGAAACUGCGGGUCUCGAGGGAGGUAGGGGCAUGUGGAACUUCGGGUGGAGCGGUGAAAUGCGUUGAUAUCCGAAGGAACGCCGGUGGCGAAAGCGACGUGCUGGAUCUCUUCUGACGCUGAGGCGCGAAAGCCAGGGUAGCGAACGGG
This 253-nucleotide ribosomal RNA is filed under the name uncultured bacterium. RNAcentral's name for it is "partial 16S ribosomal RNA". It matches the Rfam family "Bacterial small subunit ribosomal RNA", at positions 524 to 776 of the family's 1533-position model. The record is from RNAcentral.